GUCUGCACACUAUAGUGAUUGGUCGUAUCACUCACAGGAGGCGGGAGAUGAGUCAACGAAAUCAAAACAAAUGCACAUUUUCAAGAAAUCUGUUGCCAAAGUCUGGCUAAACGCUAAAAACACGAGUUUUUACACAUACACAGUGUAUGUUUAGUUCUGAAGAAGGCUAAACAGCGUCUUUUAGCUUUAGCUUUUAGCUAAGCUAGCGCGCAGCAUGCUAAACCGUUUAGCUACAACUGCUUUGGGACAGUUGUGCUUCUGUAAAGUUGCUGGGUGGCACCGCGAACCGACGCCGAACUUCAGAACACUGGACCGAGGAUCACACAGGGCCCACGUGGACCCGGAAGGCGAACUGCGCGUUAUUAAACCAAGUGGGGCCGCACAGGACGUUUGUUUCCCGGCUAUUGCUUCCGUCGCCAUUGAAACCUUAAGGAGGAACGGCUGAGGCCAGGCGACACCAGCACUGUUUGUACAUCUGUACAUCCCUCACAUGUCUCGCCCACAGCCCUUCUGGGCUUGUCUCCAUGGUAACCACAGCAGGGAUGGUGUCCUUGGCAGAGAUGGAGGGAUGGAUAGAGAGAGGAGGUACAGACACUUGUUGAAUGGUUAAAAGGAUGCCUUGACAUUCUGAAUUUUAAUCAGCUGUAUAUUAUUUUUUUUCCUCUUUCUGUGUUCAUUGUCCCUGAGGCUCUUCUCCUUGUUUCGUUCAGUGUUUAUGAGUUGCGAGCCAGUGAUGCCAAUGUUUUUUUGUUUUUUUUUUUAUUCUCCAGGGAUACCUUGACAUUUACACUUUCAUUCAGCUAUUUUUCUUUUAAGCCACAGUUCCAAUGGCAAUAACAAUUUCUCUCCAAUUGUAACCCAACAUUAAAAAGCUUUGUUUACGUUCUGCAGUGCAAACCGUUCUUAAGGGUCCAACGACUCAUGACUGAGGAGUGUGUGUGUGUGUGUGUGUGUGUGUGUGUGUGUGUGUGUGUGUGUGUGUGUGUGUGUGUGUGUGUGUGUGUGUGUUGCAGUAUGCAAAAUAUUUCAGAGCUGUACGCUAUGUGCUCUUAAUGGAAGUUUGGAUUGUUGCAAUUAGUUCGCUUUGUUCGAGAUGAAACUGUGGUGAAAUGUUGUCAUGCCCUGUAGGUUGAAUAGCUAAAUGAAACUCACUAGUUCUCUCACUAACAGCAGAAUGUUGUUAAUAAUCUAAAAGCUCUUCUUGCCAUUCCCACAGGCAGACUCAUUCUUUUAAAUCUAAGCUGUAAGGCCGCUUCUUAAGUGCACAUUCUCACAUCAAAGGAAAUUUACCGCACAAAUGACAUUUUAACGUGGUACUGUAUAUUUAACUUUAAUUCUAAAAAACGUCCUUUGGGCCACGUUCCCCAGAAAAUAAAGUGACUCGUGCCCACAGACGCUAGACAGCACAAUUGUGUGAAAAUGAUCCAGUGCAGUCAUAAUGUCUCAUCAACAAGUGUGAAGGCUAAACUUUUUAACGAGCCACAUUUCAGUGUUUUUUUCUUUUCUCUUAUUUAUUCAGUGAAGUGUCUCUCUCCUUAUGUGUCACUAUGUGCUCUGCUUCUGUUUCUGU
Betta splendens (Siamese fighting fish) is the source of this 1570-nucleotide long non-coding RNA. RefSeq lists it as uncharacterized. The transcript has 3 exons. The record is from RefSeq and is a predicted model, not a curated record. NCBI's taxonomy places the organism in Eukaryota, Metazoa, Chordata, Actinopteri, Anabantiformes, Osphronemidae.